This 5561-nucleotide long non-coding RNA is filed under the name Brassica napus (rape). Its description in RNAcentral is "long non-coding RNA (BNAP_LNC016774)". Lineage: Eukaryota; Viridiplantae; Streptophyta; Magnoliopsida; Brassicales; Brassicaceae. The record is from RNAcentral.
UUCUACACAAAUAUAAUUAUCAUUUGAUAAACUAAUUGACAGGUUUGAAAACCUACCUCAUUAUACUACUAAAUCUCAUUCAAUUAUUAAAACACUUUUCUUGCAAGGGAGUAUCAAACCAUAGAUGAGUCAUCAUCAAAUGUCUUGGCUAGAUAUAAGAAGGUAAAAACCAGUUUACUUAGCUAGAUAUAAGAAGGUAAAAACGAGUUGACGGUACCAUAUCUUACAUACACACUAAAACCUUUUGUUCUUAAAUAGAUUAAGUUAGGUGGUGAACAGAAACCUCAUAUCUUCCGCUGUCAACUUUCCUAUGGCCUCCUGAGAACCACCAACGGUCCUGUAAUGACACAAAAAGAGUGUUCAUGAUUAACCUCAAGUAAUAAUAGUUUAUGUUGGGAAAUAGAAAACAACAGAAACAGGGAAUCUUUUACUCACCCUUCAAACACAAGUUCCUUCUUCUUCUGAAGCUUCAGGAUCCUUUCCUCCACUGUGUUCUCUAUUAUGAAUCUCACAACCCUGUAACACAUGCAUCCAAAGAUUACUCUUACGUACACACCAACAAAUAUAGAGAUUCAAGGAGAACUAAAGUGUAAACCUGAUUGGCUUGUACUGUCCAAUCCUAUGUAUUCUGUCUUGUGCUUGUCUCUCAACCGCUGGGUUCCACCACGGAUCCAUCAUGAACACCUACAGAGUUUUAAACAAUGUGAGAACAAAUUUUGAAAUAGGCGCAUAUCUCUCCAUAGUUAUUAACUAGACAACUUACAUGUGAAGCAACUGUUAGGUUGAGAGCAACCCCUCCAGCUUUCAAACUCAUUAAGAAAACUCUGCAAUCUGGAUCUUCUUUGAAUCUAUUGAUGGCAGCAUCUCUAGCUCCCAUGGACAUACUUCCCACCAGUUGGGCACAACCAACCCCACACUGUGUUGUAAACAAAAUGGUGUUUCAGUCUGAUUAAAACCAAUGUCAAUGAAUUAACAUAGCCGGAGCGUAGUGGGUUGCUUACCUUCCCGAGGGUGUAGUGUAUCAGAUCCAAAAAUGAUGUAAAUUGGCUGAAAACUAUUGCUUUGGCAGACCCAUCUCUUUCAACCAUGAACCUGAUCUCUUCCCUCUGCGUACAAACAUGAUCACGGUAUGGUUAAAGAACAAGGGCUCAAAAUGCCAUAGAAACUUAACAGGGUGCACUAUUUUGAGAGUAGAGACAUACCAAAGCCUCUAUUUUUGUACUUGUCUGAAAAUCAUCGAGCUUUAUCCGAUUCAAGAUGCUUGAGGCUCUAAAUCCUUUUAGUGUCGCCUUGUUUGCAUGUUGCUCUGUGCCAGCUUUGGUAGUCCAAUCCACGGUUAGUAGUUUCGAGCAUGUCGGGCAGCUGACUUUUCCCAGGGAUGCAGAGAAAUCAAUCAAACAAGCUUUACAGAACACAUGUGCACAAGAAGUCACCUACACAGUUAAAAAAACAAAAGCAAAUAUUAAUCCAACAAGUUAGUCCAGCAAUAUACAAAGAGACAAGAGACAAGAUGCAGAGAAAUUAAAAAAGAUUGAACAAAUUGACACACUUACAACACUGUCUUCAGCAGGUUCGUGGCAGAGACCGCACUCGUGCUCCUUUUUGUUCUCACCAUUCAAGUUAGCGUUUUCUCCACUAGAAGCGGAAUACACCACAAGGUAUGGAUGAUCAACAGCCUGCAGAAACAUUGCAGAGAGAAUACAUCACAAACCUGUAAACCAUAUCAUCCUGAAAGUGCAUUAACCAUAGAACUGCAGAUGUCACACACCUGUCUCAGACGGGUGAGAAGAUCAAAUAUAUGUGCAUAGUUAUUCAUCAAUGUCCCAGCCUCAACAUACCUGCAAACAGAAACGUACAAGGCACAGUCAACAUUAAAUUCUGUUACAUGAACCAAGGAGCAAAAGACAGUAGAAUAGAAGGUACUUAACGUAUUAAAUUGCGAUUGGCUGUUUUGGUAUAGUGACUCAUAGUAAUCAAACUCUUUUACAUCUAGUGCAUCUCGCCUCAGAGUGAUCUACAAGAAGUGAAACUUGUAAGUUCAAGCUAGGAAGCAACUAUAUAGUGAGCUUUAUUUACAUUAAGACAAGGGAGACAAAGCAACAUACGAAUCUAGGAGGAAGGGCGAGAUCAGCCGCCCGGCCCAGUUUAGUACGUCUUAUGAGGAUGUCUUUCAGAACUUUGUGCUUAAGCAAUACCAUGGCUCUCCUACCCAGUUCGUUGCCUCCAUAUGCUGUUAUUGGUCUAGCCACAUACUAGCAAGAUUGGAAAAUAACAAAAACCAGUUUAAAACGGUGAUCUUUAUUUAAAGAAUUUGGUAAAUAUAAAGUGGCAAACUCAUAGUUGUUACCUUGUUCCACCAACAGAAAUGUCGCACUGCAUUAUGAGUGCAGCUGUUACAGCUUACAUGCGCACUACAAUCAAACGCAGCAGACAAUAUUAUGAGCUAAUGAAACAGAAGAGAAAGACGCAAUAGCUAGGAAUCGAGUGUGGUGAAAAACUUACGUGUAAUCAAGAAUUCUACAGUCACAGUCCUUGCAGAAGUAAUACGAGUAUGGACGAAUUUGCAAGAAGCGAAUCUGGGGGAAACAAAAUAGUCAAGUCAGCGACGUUGGCGAUAAUGUUUCAGUGCUAUAGAUAAAGUAACUUAAGGAAAGAUUAACUAACCAGAGAGUAAAGCUCUCCAACACGGUUCUGGAGAGGGGUACCACUCAAAGCCCAUCUGUAAGUAGCCUCCAAAGCAAAAACAGCUCUCGCAGUGUUGCUACCCCCCCCCCCCGCCCACCCACACCCACGCACAAGCAUACGUGCCUUAAAGCUUGCUUGCGUUGCUUUGAAAUAAUAUGAUUUCACUGUUUUUACAAAUAUCUUUAUAAGAAAUGUAACGACAAAUCUCCAAAUAUGAAGAUCAUAAAUACCAUCGACAAAUACCAUCGACCAAGCUUCAAAUCUACCAAAUAUCCGUACGUCUCUUUUCCAUAUUUUUUGCAUGUUACCUAAAUCACGUGAACCUAAAAAAAAGAAUAUACUAGUAUUGUUUACCUAAAAGAAGCCAAAGGAAAGAUUUGGACACUUGUCGACGCCUAGUCGCCUCCUAACUCUGACGACACGUUGCUCGAGGACAUAUACGGAACUCCGGUCGGAACAGAAACAAAUAGUUAUUUGACUACCUGAAUUUCGACACGUCAUCACUUUCUAGACUCACAGAGGUUAGAAAGACCAAUAAGCACUCUACCAUUCCUAACCAAGUGUCACGUCACUUCUUAUCGAACCUUUCGUUAGAUACGUACAGUGCCACCUCACUCCUCUUUGCUCACGUUUCUUUAGUUUUUCUUCUGCACACAUUAUGUUUUAACAAAAAAAAAUUGGUAAUCAACUUUUCCUUAAAACUCCACGUGUAUAGACGACAUCAUCUUAUACAGUUACUUAUUUCAUUUUAUUUUCGCGUUGUUAGAUAAACUCGAUGUUACCAAAAGUAUACACUUUCUCUAAUUAGUCAAAAAAAAAAAAUUAAAAAUUAAAAACCUUCCUUAUAUAUAUACCUUCUCUGUAAUAACAAAGUGAAAGCAAACAAACAUUAACAAAAAAAAAUGAACUGGACUAGAGAAAAAACAAUAGGCCGUGGCUCGUCAGCCACCGUCUACGCCGCCACGUGUCAAGAAUCCGGAGAAACCAUCGCCGUGAAAUCCGCCGAGUUUCACCAGUCGGAGUUUUUGCAAAGAGAAGCCAAACUCCUCUCCUCCAUGAAUUCUCCUUACGUCAUCGGAUACAGAGGAUGCGAAGUUACGAAAGAGCCCUUAGCUACUUACAACCUUCUCAUGGAGUACGCACCGUACGGGACGAUGGCCGACGUGGCGGCUAAAAACGGUGGUUGCAUCGACGAGGCUCGGGUUGUGAGCUACACGCGCCAGAUACUUCUUGGUUUGGAGUACGUUCAUGACUCGAAGGGAAUCGCGCAUUGCGACGUUAAGGGAAGCAACGUGCUGGUCGGAGUCAACGGAGAGGCCAAGAUCGCUGACUUCGGUUGCGCGAAACGGGUUGAACCGGAGUUAACCGAACCGGUUAGAGGAACUCCGGCGUUUAUGGCGCCGGAGGUGGCGCGUGGAGAGAGGCAAGGGAAGGAGAGUGACAUUUGGGCGCUGGGGUGUACGGUGAUAGAGAUGGUCACCGGUUCUCCUCCGUGGGUUGGUGGGGAUUCGACCGACCCGGUUUCGGUUCUUUACCGGGUCGGGUAUAUGGGUGAGUCGCCAGAGCUGCCUUCCUCGCUUACGGAACAAGCAAAGGAUUUUUUGGGAAAGUGUUUGAGAAGAGAUGCGAAGGAGAGAUGGACAGCGACGCAAUUAUUAAACCAUCCGUUUGUAACAACCAAACCGAAUACAGAACCGGAAUCGGAAACCGGUUUGGUUACGAACUCACCGACAAGCGUGACGGAUCAAAUGUUCUGGAGGUCAGUGGAAGAGGAGGAGGAUCAGGAGCGUCCAAGCUGGUGGGAAUGUCACGAGGAGAGAAUUGGAGUGCUAAGCUGGAUUGGUCAGGCUGUGGUGGAUCCCACGUGGGAUAUGGACGGUGAAGAUUGGAUCACGGUUCGACGGAAUAAUGAUUAGUCGGUCACAUGAUGAGACAGUGUUGAUUAUUUUGAAUUAGGAAAAAUUGUUUAAUGCAUUUGGUCAAGGAAAUUGAAAAUUUUGAAUUUGAGUGAAUGUAGGUAAGGUUUAGAUCAAAUUCAUGUACAUACAUUUACUAAUCCAUCAUUUUUUUAUAAGAAAAUUCCCAUGAUUCCAAAUUUUGUUGCUCAUUGUUAAUAAAACAAAUAUAGUGAAAUUGGACUUUGAUAUAUUAAUCUAAAAUUCCUUUAAGCCAAGCAUAUAUGCCAGAAAUGGUAUGAGUUAUUUGGCAAUAUGUUUUGUAACUACAACUGUAUGAAACUAGAUUUGGCGAAGUAGUUAGGUAAAAGAAUGAGAUUUGUGGUAAGCAUACUAAAGGAUGAUUUGUGGAGUGCAAUGAUUUUAGCUUGUAUGGAAAGUGAAAGAUGAAGGCGACAAAUAUGCCGAACCAGCCGAACUGGUUUGCUGGUUGGUUAGUUGGUCACUUCGGAGUGUUUAGGCAAACUGAAAAGAUUCCUUUCGAAUCUUUGUUAAGGAUUCGCACCUUCACUCUGUUUUUUUUUUCUUGUGUGGAAAGCUUUGGUUAGGUCAUGUUGAUGUCAUUCAUUCAUUUAUGUCUUUGCUUCUACACAAAUAUAAUUAUCAUUUGAUAAACUAAUUGACAGGUUUGAAAACCUACCUCAUUAUACUACUAAAUCUCAUUCAAUUAUUAAAACACUUUUCUUGCAAGGGAGUAUCAAACCAUAGAUGAGUCAUCAUCAAAUGUCUUGGCUAGAUAUAAGAAGGUAAAAACCAGUUUACUUAGCUAGAUAUAAGAAGGUAAAAACGAGUUGACGGUACCAUAUCUUACAUACACACUAAAACCUUUUGUUCUUAAAUAGAUUAAGUUAGGUGGUGAACAGAAACCUCAUAUCUUCCGCUGUCAACUUUCCUAUGGCCUCCUGAGAACCACCAACGGUC